RNAcentral lists this ribosomal RNA (256 nucleotides) under uncultured bacterium. RNAcentral describes it as "partial 16S ribosomal RNA". It matches the Rfam family "Bacterial small subunit ribosomal RNA", at positions 524 to 776 of the family's 1533-position model. The record is from RNAcentral.
UACGUAGGGGGCAAGCGUUGUCCGGAUUUAUUGGGCGUAAAGAGCGUGUAGGCGGCCAUUCAGGUCAGCUGUGAAAACUCGAGGCUCAACCUCGAGACGUCGGUUGAAACCGUUUGGCUAGAGUCCGGAAGAGGAGAGUGGAAUUCCCGGUGUAGCGGUGAAAUGCGCAGAUAUCGGGAAGAACACCCGUGGCGAAGGCGGCUCUCUGGGACGGUACUGGACGCUGAGACGCGAAAAGCGUGGGGGAGCGAACAGG